Liolophura sinensis is the source of this 1262-nucleotide long non-coding RNA. RefSeq lists it as uncharacterized. The transcript is spliced from 3 exons. Lineage: Eukaryota; Metazoa; Mollusca; Polyplacophora; Chitonida; Chitonidae. The record is from RefSeq and is a predicted model, not a curated record.
UUUAUGGUUUACACGGGUGUUUACGCAUGUCCGGUGGCAGAUGUUGAUUCCGGAAAUGGGUUCUCAGCCGGAAGCAUUCUGCUCAUUAUAUUCUUUAUUCUGCUAUUCCUGUACCUCAUCUGCGGGGUGGUGUUCCAGAAAAUCUUCAAGAAAUCGUCUGGGAAAGAUCUCAUUCCGCACGUCUUGUUUUGGACAAGUUUGCCUGGCCUCAUACAGGCUGGAGUAUACUUUUCCUUUUCCUGCGGGAAAGUUAACAAAGGAUAUGAAAAUGUAUGACGACGUGGUGAAUAUUGCUAACUGUAAAUUAGUGAACUGCCGAAAUGAGAAGAGACGAAUACGUGGGAGUAGAGAAGGGUGUCCGAAAUUAGGAACGAAAUAGCAGUGUGAAUAUGGUUCCAGAGUAUUUCGCGAUGCAAAACCAUUAAUCUGGGAAGUUGGAAUAAGUCUUAAAAGAAAUCGCCUUUGAGGUAGGAAUCAUGAACAAAACUUUCAAAAUUCCGCGAUACAAAACGACUUUUCUGGAGCAGUGGAAUAAGUCUUAGACAUAUAGACAAAAACAAACCUUCCGAAUCUGGAACAAGAUAAUGAGUUUUAAUAUCAUGGUGGACGAGAAUAUCGCAAAUUAUCCUUCCGAACUCUGAAAUUAAAUGACAGGUGCAAACGUGAUAUACGAAGAUAUUGGUAAGACAUCUGCCGAGCUGUAUAAAAGGUGAAAGUCUUGUCGUAAGUAACAUUUUGUGAUUGGUGACAUAGAUUCCAUUCUUACGGUGUACAAAUCUAUGCUUUCAUGCAGCGCAAGAUCACUUGUUAUUGAGCAUCAUAUGUGGAAAGUACUAUACAAAAUAAAGGCUCUUGGUAUUUGGCUCAAUGCCCAUAACAUAAAUCAUUCUUUGCCUUGAAGUAGGUUUGUUGUUGGUGUACACUACUUGAUCACAUGGCAAUCCAAGGAGAUAUUAAAAACAACAAGAAUGAAAUAUAUGGAAAUAAAGACGAAAAGAACAAAAAAAAAGCAAUGUUGAGUUUCAAAUAGAAUCGUUGUUUGUUUUUUAAUGCUUUGUUACAGUUGUUACAUCACGGUUUAAAACAUUGACCUCUGACACUUAUCAUCGCAGAGCUUAUGUAGUAAGUCUACAUACUGUUCACAAUGGAGAUUCGUGCAUCAUCGUGCCAUCCCUGCCGUACAUGUAUCUCUCUACGCCAAUAUCGAUGUGCUAUGUCUAUUGCAAACUAGGUUGCGCAAAACUUUUACCCUACCGGAAUAA